This 666-nucleotide long non-coding RNA is filed under the name Elaeis guineensis (African oil palm). RNAcentral's name for it is "long non-coding RNA (EGUI_LNC023740)". The record is from RNAcentral. Lineage: Eukaryota; Viridiplantae; Streptophyta; Magnoliopsida; Arecales; Arecaceae.
CUUCUUUCCUCUAUAAAUAUUAAUAAGAGUAGCCAAUUAGGUUGUUUCUGAUGAUAAACUUCUAAUUAUGGAUAGCUAAUUUCAGAAAAGCUUGAACAUAGUUCUCACCCUGAACUUGGCGUCAGGAAAGCCAGAAAUACACAAGAGGAAGGAAAACUCCAAACCACUUGAAAAAUUUAAAAAGAAAUCCUUCUUUCCUCUAUAAAUAUAAUAGGAGUAGCCAAUUAAGUUGUUCCUGAUGAUAAACUUUCAACUAUGGAUAACUAAUUCCAGAAAAGCUUUAACAUUGUCUUCAUCCUGAAGUUCAUGUCAGGAAGGUCGGAAAUACACAAGAGAAGGGAAAACUCCAACCCACUCGAAAAACAUAAAAAAAUCUUUUUUUUCUCUAUAAAUAUCAAUAGGAGUGGCCAAUUAGGUUGUUUCCGACAACAAACUUCUAAUUAUCCAUAACUAAUCCCAGAAAAAGUUGAACAUUGUCUUCACCCUGAACUUGAUGUCAGGAAGGUCGAAAAUACAUAAGGGGGAAAACUCCAACCCACUCGAAAAAACAAAAAAAAAAAAAUCCUUCUUUCCUCUAUAAAUAUUAAUAGGACUAGCCAAAUAGAUUAUUUCUAACGAUAAAUUUUCAAUUAUAGAUAACUAACUUCAGAAAAAGUUUGAACAUUA